This 666-nucleotide ribosomal RNA is filed under the name Pseudomonas lini. RNAcentral describes it as "bacterial SSU rRNA". It matches the Rfam family "Bacterial small subunit ribosomal RNA", at positions 93 to 755 of the family's 1533-position model. Lineage: Bacteria; Pseudomonadati; Pseudomonadota; Gammaproteobacteria; Pseudomonadales; Pseudomonadaceae. The record is from RNAcentral.
GAGCGGCGGACGGGUGAGUAAUGCCUAGGAAUCUGCCUGGUAGUGGGGGAUAACGCUCGGAAACGGACGCUAAUACCGCAUACGUCCUACGGGAGAAAGCAGGGGACCUUCGGGCCUUGCGCUAUCAGAUGAGCCUAGGUCGGAUUAGCUAGUUGGUGAGGUAAUGGCUCACCAAGGCGACGAUCCGUAACUGGUCUGAGAGGAUGAUCAGUCACACUGGAACUGAGACACGGUCCAGACUCCUACGGGAGGCAGCAGUGGGGAAUAUUGGACAAUGGGCGAAAGCCUGAUCCAGCCAUGCCGCGUGUGUGAAGAAGGUCUUCGGAUUGUAAAGCACUUUAAGUUGGGAGGAAGGGCAGUUACCUAAUACGUAUCUGUUUUGACGUUACCGACAGAAUAAGCACCGGCUAACUCUGUGCCAGCAGCCGCGGUAAUACAGAGGGUGCAAGCGUUAAUCGGAAUUACUGGGCGUAAAGCGCGCGUAGGUGGUUCGUUAAGUUGGAUGUGAAAUCCCCGGGCUCAACCUGGGAACUGCAUCCAAAACUGGCGAGCUAGAGUAUGGUAGAGGGUGGUGGAAUUUCCUGUGUAGCGGUGAAAUGCGUAGAUAUAGGAAGGAACACCAGUGGCGAAGGCGACCACCUGGACUGAUACUGACACUGAGGUGCG